Molecule: ribosomal RNA, 217 nt
Filed under: Paenibacillus sp. VT-400
Lineage: Bacteria; Bacillati; Bacillota; Bacilli; Caryophanales; Paenibacillaceae
Description: partial 23S ribosomal RNA
Rfam family: Bacterial large subunit ribosomal RNA
Source: RNAcentral
GCAACGAAACUGCCUCGGGGAGCUGUAAGCAAGCUUUGAUCCGGGGGUGUCCGAAUGGGGAAACCCAGCUGGGGUAAUUUCCAGUUACUCAUAACUGAAUACAUAGGUUAUGCAGAGGCAUACCAGGGGAACUGAAACAUCUAAGUACCCUGAGGAAGAGAAAACAAUAGUGAUUCCGUCAGUAGCGGCGAGCGAACGCGGAGAAGCCCAAACCAGA